CCCCUCUCUCUCUCCCUUUCCCCCUCUCUCUCUCUCCCUUUCCCCCUCUCUCUCUCUCCCUCUCCCCCUCUCUCUCUCUCCCUUUCCCCCCUCUCUCUCUCUCCCUUUCCCCCCCCUCUCUCUCUCUCCCUUUCCCCCCUCUCUCUCUCUCCCUUUCCCCCCUCUCUCUCUCUCUCCCUUUCCCCCCCUCUCACAGUUCCAUUCUGCAGUACCCACCUGUAUUUGUUGCCAAAGUUAGUGGGGCUGUGCACUUUUCCCCCCGUCCAAUAGCAGCGUGGCUCGAUGUGUCACUCAGUCCCAGAUGUAUGAUUGGCCCAUUCUCAAACAGCUGACCCCCCCCCCCCACACACACAGAGCGCUUUUUUAAAGCCCCUCCCCUCUUAGCUAAACACUUCUUCAACUGAACUCUCUCUCUCUCUAUCCGUCUCUCUCUCUCUAUCCGUCUCUCUCUCUCUAUCCGUCUCUCUAUCCGUCUCUCUAUCCGUCUCUCUAUCCGUCUCUCUAUCCGUCUCUCUAUCCGUCUCUCUAUCCGUCUCUCUAUCCGUCUCUCUAUCCGUCUCUCUAUCCGUCUCUCUAUCCGUCUCUCUCUCUCUCUAUCCGUCUCUCUCUCUCUCUAUCCGUCUCUCUCUCUCUCUCUCUCUCUCUCUCUAUCCGUCUCUAUCCGUCUCUAUCCGUCUCUAUCCGUCUCUAUCCGUCUCUAUCCGUCUCUAUCCGUCUCUAUCCGUCUCUAUCCGUCUCUCUAUCCGUCUCUCUAUCCGUCUCUCUCUCUCUCUAUCCGUCUCUCUCUCUCUCUCUCUCUAUCCGUCUCUAUCCGUCUCUAUCCGUCUCUAUCCGUCUCUAUCCGUCUCUAUCCGUCUCUCUAUCCGUCUCUCUCUCUAUCCGUCUCUCUCUCUAUCCGUCUCUCUAUCCGUCUCUCUAUCCGUCUCUCUAUCCGUCUCUCUCUCUAUCCGUCUCUCUCUCUAUCCGUCUCUCUCUCUAUCCGUCUCUCUCUCUAUCCGUCUCUCUCUCUAUCCGUCUCUCUCUCUAUCCGUCUCUCUGUCUCUCUCUCUAUCCGUCUCUCUAUCCGUCUCUCUCUCUAUCGUCUCUCUAUCCGUCUCUCUCUCUAUCGUCUCUCUAUCCGUCUCUCUCUCUAUCGUCUCUCUAUCCGUCUCUCUCUCUAUCGUCUCUCUAUCCGUCUCUCUCUCUAUCGUCUCUCUAUCCGUCUCUCUCUCUAUCGUCUCUCUAUCCGUCUCUCUCUCUAUCGUCUCUCUAUCCGUCUCUCUCUCUAUCGUCUCUCUAUCCGUCUCUCUCUCUAUCGUCUCUCUAUCCGUCUCUCUCUCUCAUCGUCUCUCUAUCCGUCUCUCUCUCUAUCGUCUCUCUAUCCGUCUCUCUCUCUAUCGUCUCUCUAUCCGUCUCUCUCUCUAUCGUCUCUCUCUCUCUCUCUCUAUCUGUCUCUCUGUCUCUCUCUCUCUCUAUCUGUCUCUAUCCGUCUCUCUCUCUCUAUCCGUCUCUCUCUCUCUCUCUCUCUAUCCGUCUCUGUGUGUUUAUUUUGGUCUUUGUAUCCAGGUGUCUCCCUCCACCUGUCUGUCUCUGUAUUAAACCACUGAUUUAUCAUCCAUGACCUGAUUUUGUUGGCCAGGAUUCAAUCCCACAAUGCAAUGUUUACGGUAAACGCUGCAUAUGUCGGCUUAUUUUGAAAUGACCCUUUUAGAAGAAGAAAUAAAAGCAGUGAUGAUACAGAAUCGGUUCUGUCUGGAAGUAGAGACCCGCUGGACUCUGAGCGCCGUGGAAAAACUGGAAGUGGAUUCUGGAAUGGGGUUUUACUCCCUCAUCUCAUAAUAUUGAAUCACAGGAAAUGUAAAAUGUUCCAAUGUGUAACCUAAAGGAAAUGAUGUCAUCAUCUAGCUGUGAGCUCAUUGGUUGGAGAUUUUUGGACAAUGCGCCAUUUUAUUUGUAUUUUUUAAAUGGCGCAUUGUCUAAAAAAAGCAGUGAUGGUAUUGAAUCCGGGCCUGUCUGGAAGUAGAGACCCGCUGGUCUCUGAGCGUUGUGUAAAAACUGGAAGCGGAUUCUGGAAUGGGUUUUAGUCCCUCAUCUCAUAUUGAAUCACAGGAAAUUUACAAUGUUAACCUAGAGGAAAUUAUGUCUUCCUCUAGCUGUGAGCUCAUUGGUGGAGAUUUUGAUCUCCCAGACAGGAAAUAACCUGUUAAAUGUUGUUUUCAUGAAGGAAGUGUGUGUCCUUACAGCUGUCCAGAGCUCUGAUCUGGUGGGACGUUAACCUCUCUGACUGGAUCCCCGAUCCCGGUCGGACGUUAACCUCUCUGACUGGAUCCCCGAUCCCGGUCGGACGUUAACCUCUCUGACGGGAUCCCCGAUCCCGGUCGGACGUUAACCUCUCUGACGGGAUCCCCGAUCCCGGUCGGACGUUAACCUCUCUGACGGGAUCGCCGGUCGGACGUUAACCUCUCUGACGGGAUCGCCGGUCGGACGUUAACCUCUCUGACGGGAUCGCCGAUCCCGUUCGGACGUUAAAACCUCUCUGACUGGAAGAAUUUCUUUUAAUUUCCCUCUCUAAAGGCACAGCCAUUAUCAUGGAGAACGAUCUGUUGGUCAUUGAUAUAAAAACCAUCUCACUUCCUGGUUUCACUCCUCCUCCACAACUGGAAUCUGGUGCUUCAUCUCCUCCAUUAUCAUGUAAAUGUGAUCCACUGUGAUCUAGUCCAAGAGGUCAAUGAUGUGGUGUUAGUGGAUGGAUAUGUGUGUGUUGACUGUUGGUUCACACAGGUGAGAGGUUAGAGUACCUCACUGUAGUUCUUGGUAAUGCCUGUGUAUGACUCAAGUGUUUCUGGGUAAUUUACUAAAUGUAACUAUAUAAAUAAAAUAAAAAAUCCACUUUUUUUUAUUUUUUUUUACUUUGUGAAACUGGAACUCUCUGUUUUAUUUUUUUGGUGAUUAAAUCUUACUCUUGUGCCAUUGGUUCACCUGGAUGCCAACAACCAAUAAAAGGGGAUUUUGAACACUUACUACCUACGUGUCUGUUCUCUCUGUUUUUAUUGGACACUGCAAC
This 3043-nucleotide long non-coding RNA is filed under the name Salmo salar (Atlantic salmon). RNAcentral's name for it is "lncRNA (ENSSSAG00000085248.1)". The record is from RNAcentral. Lineage: Eukaryota; Metazoa; Chordata; Actinopteri; Salmoniformes; Salmonidae.